AAGUCGAACGAGAAAGCUCCUUCGGGAGUGAGUACAGUGGCGAACGGGUGCGUAACACGUUGGUGACCUGCCUUGAGGAGGGGGACAACCGUGGGAAACCACGGCUAAUACCCCGGAUGUCUAAACUGUUAGAGGGUUUAGACUAGAACUUCGGUGCCUCAAGAGGGGCCUGCGGGCUAUCAGCUUGUUGGUGGGGUAAUGGCCUACCAAGGCUAAGACGGCUAGGGGGCGUGAGAGCGCGACCCCCCACAAUGGAACUGAGACACGGUCCAUACUCCUACGGGAGGCAGCAGUGAGGAAUAUUGCGCAAUGGGGGAAACCCUGACGCAGCAACGCCGCGUGAACGAUGAAGGCCUUCGGGUCGUAAAGUUCUUUUCUAAGGGAAGAUAGUGACGGUACCUUAGGAAUAAGUCCCGGCUAACUACGUGCCAGCAGCCGCGGUAAAACGUAGGGGGCGAGCGUUAUCCGGAUUUAUUGGACGUAAAGCGCACGUAGGUGGCGCUGUAAGUUAGACGUGAAAAGCUCUCGGCUCAACUGAGAGAGGUCGUUUAAAACUGCAGUGCUUGAGGUUAGAAGAGGAGAGCAGAAUUCCCGGUGUAGUGGUGGAAUGCGUAGAUAUCGGGAGGAAUACCAGUGGCGAAGGCGGCUCUCUAGUCUACACCUGACACUGAGGUGCGAAAGCGUGGUAACCGAACGGGAUUAGAUACCCCGGUAGUCCACGCUGUAAACGAUGGAUACUAGGUGUAGGGGGUCAUUUAACCCCUCUGUGCCGAAGCAAACGCGUUAAGUAUCCCGCCUGGGGACUACGGCCGCAAGGUUAAAACUCAAAGGAAUUGACGGGGGGCCCGCACAAGCAGCGGAGCGUGUGGUUUAAUUCGAUGAUACGCGAAGAACCUUACCUGGGCUGAACUACGUGGUAGUAGUGAAGCGAAAACGGAUCGACCCUUCGGGGAGCCUCGAUAGGUGCAGCAUGGCUGUCGUCAGCUCGUGUCGUGAGAUGUUGGGUUAAGUC
Molecule: ribosomal RNA, 1012 nt
Filed under: uncultured organism
Description: bacterial SSU rRNA
Rfam family: Bacterial small subunit ribosomal RNA
Source: RNAcentral